AGUGAACGCUGGCGGUAGACCUAACACAUGCAAGUCGAACGGCAGCACAGUAAGAGCUUGCUCUUACGGGUGGCGAGUGGCGGACGGGUGAGGAAUGCAUCGGAAUCUACUUUUUCGUGGGGGAUAACGUAGGGAAACUUACGCUAAUACCGCAUACGACCUACGGGUGAAAGCAGGGGAUCUUCGGACCUUGCGCGAUUGAAUGAGCCGAUGUCGGAUUAGCUAGUUGGCGGGGUAAAGGCCCACCAGGGCGACGAUCCGUAGCUGGUCUGAGAGGAUGAUCAGCCACACUGGAACUGAGACACGGUCCAGACUCCUACGGGAGGCAGCAGUGGGGAAUAUUGGACAAUGGGCGCAAGCCUGAUCCAGCCAUACCGCGUGGGUGAAGAAGGCCUUCGGGUUGUAAAGCCCUUUUGUUGGGAAAGAAAAGCAGCAGGUUAAUACCCCGCUGUUCUGACGGUACCCAAAGAAUAAGCACCGGCUAACUUCGUG
RNAcentral lists this ribosomal RNA (492 nucleotides) under uncultured bacterium. RNAcentral's name for it is "partial 16S ribosomal RNA". It matches the Rfam family "Bacterial small subunit ribosomal RNA", at positions 29 to 507 of the family's 1533-position model. The record is from RNAcentral.